This 780-nucleotide long non-coding RNA is filed under the name Equus caballus (horse). RNAcentral's name for it is "lncRNA (ENSECAG00000048076.1)". The record is from RNAcentral. Lineage: Eukaryota; Metazoa; Chordata; Mammalia; Perissodactyla; Equidae.
UUCCCCAUCCUGUCACCUCCAUUCCCAUCCCUGUCCCCCUGUCCCCCACAAGACUAUCAUGGAAGCAACCAUUUUAUGUAAUAUGACCCUGCUGCCUUCCUCACCACAUUUGAUUGGUCAAAAGCAGGUGCCUGGUCCAGGCUGGGCCAAUCACAACCCAUUCCUGAGAAAUGUGAGACUGUGACUGAGAAAGAGAGCCAGGCUUUCUGGGGAAGAAGCUGUAUGAUAUCAACCUACAGAGCCAGGUGGCCGGGCUGCGUGUAGUCCACCACGUGGACAACGCCAGUGAAGGGAGAGAAGGAUUAAUGGAGCCACGACAGAAAGAUGCAGAUAUGUGGUAUCUGGGCCUCUAUGCAUACUCCUUUUCCAAGACCUGCAGAGGUCGGGAGCGAGCCUGGUGGGAAGUCCAGGAGAGACCAUCUCUUGAUGAGGACACUGAGAAAUAACUGCACAUAAUCAUGUAGCCAGUGAGUGGCAGAGGUGCCCCCUGUGUCCAUGAGAAGAUGGAUAAAUCCCACCUACAGAGAAACUCACAGAGAAGAGACCAGAAUUAAUUAGCAAGAAGAUGUUGUUAUAAACAACAUUUUCUUAAGCAAUGCGUUUGUUACUUUUAAUCCCAAAGUUAAACCAAAUCAGACUCAUCCAGUUUAGACUAGUAAGAAUCUGUGUCAAGGAAGACAGAACUAAUAUGCUUAUUAUCAUUUGUACACCAAUAGGUCCACCUAAGCUCUUGGGGGCAUUUAGAAACUGCAAAUAUUAAAUAUUUAAAUGUAAAUAUUC